This 74-nucleotide transfer RNA is filed under the name Candidatus Shapirobacteria bacterium. RNAcentral describes it as "tRNA-Pro". It matches the Rfam family "tRNA". From Rfam's summary of the family: Transfer RNA (tRNA) molecules are approximately 80 nucleotides in length. Lineage: Bacteria; Candidatus Shapironibacteriota. The record is from RNAcentral.
CGGGGUGUAGCGCAGUUUGGUAGCGCGCACGGUUCGGGACCGUGAGGUCGUGAGUUCGAAUCUCACCACCCCGA